Nothoprocta perdicaria is the source of this 107-nucleotide long non-coding RNA. RefSeq lists it as uncharacterized. The transcript has 2 exons. The record is from RefSeq and is a predicted model, not a curated record. NCBI's taxonomy places the organism in Eukaryota, Metazoa, Chordata, Aves, Tinamiformes, Tinamidae.
GAGAGACUGUAUCUGAAUUUAUAAAGAGGAUCUGCACCGAAAUAACCUAUAAACAGAGGACUGAUCUGUGAAAGAUGCCAUUUUAUUUGUCAUGGCUAUUAAGAUGA